UAUGAUGUCAUACACGAUGGGUUAAUUCUGGCCGAAAACGUAAUUUUUAAGUAGUUAGUUACAUUAAGUGAACCAGUAUUAUGCUGAGGCUUUUAUAGGAAUGACAAUAAAAUAAUUAAUUACAGUAUAAACUGCAGAAAAUGGAUUUGAAACUACGGAAAAUUUCCAGCAUGAAAGUUUCAGGAACAAGAAAAAGUCACAGGGGCCAGAUCUGGGCUAUACGGUAGCUGCAGCAUUAUUAGUGUGUUACUUUUGGCCAAAAAUUCGCGCACAAACAACGACGUGUGAGCAGGGAGGUUAUGGUGCAAAAGUCAAUUUUUGUUCUUUCACAAAUCCGGGCUUUUUUGGAGGAUUACUUCGCUUAACUUGCAGGGAAAAACGUUGGCUGGAGUUCCAAGAACCAGAAUUUUCCGAUUAGCUUCAAAUUUUUAUCAGGGACUACGCUACACUGGAUUAAGAUAUUUAUCUAAAAGGAUUUUGAGCGGUUCAAACUGAAAGAGAUAUUCGAAUGAAUAGUAGUGGAUUUUCUGCCAUGAAAGGGGCCAACCGAAAAAUAUGAAGCUGGGAAUGUGAUCUGAUCGAUGUUGGUGGUUUACUUUUAGUAAUCGAGUUCAUGAGUUGUGACGUAGUCCUCCCGUUUUCCAUCAAACUCCAAAACAAUGGAUGGCAUUUGCGAUUUGUCUGAUUGGUGUGAAUGGAUUUCUUUUUAUUUGGCCUUUAGUUUAUAAUUCGUCUUAAUAACGUCUUAACAAAUGUGGAUUUAUUGAACAAAAUUUAUGUUACAUAACUUACAGUUGUUUCUUUUUUAAAGUAUUCCUGUUAUUUUAAUUUAACAGUUAAUGAUUGUCUAGCACUUCCUUGUAAACGAUUUUUUUGAAUUGUAUUUAACUAAAGAAAAGUCGUUGUUAUUUUUUACUGUCUUACCUUAGCAAAUGAAUUAUGAUCUCAUAUGAAAUAUUUAUUUGUCUUUUAUGCAUUUUUGUUUAGUUUGUAUUUCAGGUUUAUUCACUCAAUAGUUUUUGUAACGAAUUCUUCAGUAGU
This is a long non-coding RNA of Agrilus planipennis (emerald ash borer), 1041 nucleotides long. RefSeq lists it as uncharacterized. The record is from RefSeq and is a predicted model, not a curated record. The transcript is spliced from 5 exons. Lineage: Eukaryota; Metazoa; Arthropoda; Insecta; Coleoptera; Buprestidae.